GGGGUUGUGGCUCAGUGGUAGAGCACUCCCCUAGCACAGGUGAGGCCCUGGGUUUGAUCCCCAACACCA
This 69-nucleotide transfer RNA is filed under the name Ictidomys tridecemlineatus (thirteen-lined ground squirrel). Its description in RNAcentral is "Spermophilus tridecemlineatus (thirteen-lined ground squirrel) tRNA". It matches the Rfam family "tRNA". From Rfam's summary of the family: Transfer RNA (tRNA) molecules are approximately 80 nucleotides in length. Their secondary structure includes four short double-helical elements and three loops (D, anti-codon, and T loops). Lineage: Eukaryota; Metazoa; Chordata; Mammalia; Rodentia; Sciuridae. The record is from Rfam by way of RNAcentral.